Apodemus sylvaticus (European woodmouse) is the source of this 131-nucleotide small nucleolar RNA. RefSeq annotates it as small nucleolar RNA SNORA17. Lineage: Eukaryota; Metazoa; Chordata; Mammalia; Rodentia; Muridae. The record is from RefSeq and is a predicted model, not a curated record. The transcript has a single exon.
GGGGCCCUUAGAGGCAUUGCAGGUGUAGAUGCUAUGUCAAAUAUAAAUCAGUAGGUGGCAGACAGGAGAGAGACUAUGCCUACACUCAGUGUUCUGAUCUAGGAACAUCUGAAUGAUAGUAGCCUAACACU